RNAcentral lists this ribosomal RNA (160 nucleotides) under uncultured bacterium. Its description in RNAcentral is "partial 16S ribosomal RNA". It matches the Rfam family "Bacterial small subunit ribosomal RNA", at positions 1331 to 1500 of the family's 1533-position model. The record is from RNAcentral.
UUCGCUAGUAAUCGCGCAUCAGCCAUGGCGCGGUGAAUACGUUCCCGGCCUUGUACACACCGCCCGUCAAGCCAUGAAAGCCGGGGGUGCCUGAAGUCCGUGACCGCGAGGGUCGGCCUAGGGUAAAACUGGUGAUUGGGCUAAGUCGUAACAAGGUAGC